Meleagris gallopavo (turkey) is the source of this 905-nucleotide non-coding RNA. Lineage: Eukaryota; Metazoa; Chordata; Aves; Galliformes; Phasianidae. The record is from RefSeq and is a predicted model, not a curated record.
CUCAGCAACACCAAGGAGACAGACACACAAAUGCUGUCAGAACAAAUGCUGGUUGCCAUGGUCUCAAGAUGCUGAGAGGAGCACACUGGCAGUGCCCCCAGCUGCCCAUUGGCUGGUUCUGACUUAAGGUUCUACCUCAGCUCAGAGUCCUUGCCCAUUCCUGCCUGAUGCACUCCCUCCAAAGCCUUCUCACUCCCCAGCACAACCCAUGCAGUCAGCCCAUUUGGUCGCUUGAAGUCUGUGUUUCCUCCCAGAAGCCAUCCCAUGAGCUCACGUGAGAACACAAGAUCAGAACAGCUGAUGGCUGUAAAAGCACUGGUCAUGGAAUAAGCUUUUCACAAGAAAAAUGAAAUCAGCUACCAAGAUGCACUGCCUCUUUGUAUUCAAGCAGAGGAAGCAACAUUUGCAACUGCAUAUUUCAGAGCAUGACACAAUACAAAUAGAUGCCCUUGGAAUAUCAAAUUAUUUGUAGCUUUUGAAGGCAUUUGAAGACACAAACAAACAAACAGAACAGUGCUUGGAUAGAUCAGCAAUCUCUACUCAAGAAAAGAUUAAUGCAGCAGUAGGGAAGGUACUUGACCCUGAACUGAGGUGCUGCUAAGAAGGAUCAGCGUGAAGUAACACCACUACAGAAACAUCUCCUUACUCCACUUUCUGGCAGUACGGCCAUGGGAAGGCACGGAGCUGAACACAUUUCAGUGAGAGGGCGUUUUGCACGUGUCCAUACUCUGCUCCUCUAUUUACCCUCUGUAAUUAAAAGUGAAGUGAGUAAUCAUGCUGGAAAAGCCUGCUACGCAUCCCCUGGGGUUCAUACUAUUCUUCGCAAUCCAUUCAGAAAGCACCAGUAAGGAAUUAAAGGACCUGUGAUAUGAUUGAAAGAAGUGAAAUUUCAUGCCCUGUGGACU